CAGAGGGGGAAGAACCAGGUAUGUGUGCUGGGUUGUUUAUAUGAGAAUGUGCAGGGAAGAACUGUCUAGAACAGUUACAAACCUGGACACAACCUCAUGCCUCUCAGAAUGAGACUGGCUAAAUAAACUAUGUGCACAGGGCAGGCUCUUUCUGUUGCCUGUUUCUGCAUACCAGUCCUCCUGUAAUCGAGUGGUUUAAGAUAGGGAUGACUUGUUAGUUUCCCAUAAUUCUGUGGCUUGACCAGGUUGGCCACUGCUGCUGUCACCUGCAUGCAGUCUUUUGUCUAUUCGGCUUCUUCUAAUCAUCUAACACCUUACGCACCAGACAGCCAGGGAUGGCUGGCCCACUGUUCAGUGGCCUCAAGAUUGCCUUAGUGUGACAGGAGAAAUUAGGAGGCCUUUUGGGAAAUGUCCCAAAAGUCACAUGACAUCACUCUGCCCCUGUUGAUUGGUCCAACCAUGAACCAAGGCCAUCCCAGACCGUCUUGAUGUGAGGAAGUAUGAGCAAUCGGUGGCUGUUUUUUCUGUGGAGGACAUAAUAUUCAAGCAACACCAAGCUCAGCAUUCUAAAUUCUGCAGCUCAGGAGCAUGUGGCCCAACCAAAGCGUUGAGUCACUGUCACUACUGCAUAGUUCCAGAAUAUUCUGACACUCGUUCUUGCCCCCAGUGUCUAGGAAGAAUUGGUUUUUCCUUUGCCUCUGGAUUUGCCUGUUCUGGAUACUUCACGUGAAUGGUAACACACAACAAGCGACCAUUUGUGACCGGCCCUUUUCACUGUGCAUGUUGUCAAGGUUUGUCCAUAUUGUAGCUUGGGUCAGAACUUCCUGCAUUUUUAUGGCUCAGUGCUAGUCCAUUAUCUGCAGAGGCCACAUUUUUAAAAUCUGCUCCUCUGCUUGGUCACACGUGGGUCAUUUUCACUUUUGGCUGCUGUGAAUGGUACUUCUAUGAGUGUUCAUGACAUGUUUUCAAUUUGCUGCAUCUAUACCUAGGAGUCGAAUUGCUGGGUCUUAUGCUAAUUCUAUGUUUAGCUUUUUGAGCAACCAUUGAGCUAUUUUUCUUUGUGGCCAUUUUUAGUCCCCUAGGCUACCCAACAGCUGCCAAUGGUAAUGGCCUUCUGUGCUGAAGUGGAGUUAGGAAUUAAGACAAGUUACAAAAUGCUGUGUUGCUUCUGUGUGUUACAGAAUUUCUUUUCUUAAAAAAAAAAAAAGACAAAACAAAACAAAAAAACAGUGGUUGGAAGCAAACGUGUUUAUUUUUCUGCCACAGGCCAGGCUGAGCUUGCUGUGAUGUUCCCUGAGUUUCUCUGACGGCAGCUCCUUGCAGCACCCUCAGCUGCGUCCCAGGCCGGCCCUCAGCCUUGCAGUUUGAGCAGGCAGCCUCUGCUUUCUGGAUUGCGGGAGGCGGGAAGGGGAACGAGGGAAAGGCCGUGAGUGCACCUGCCGUCUCCUGAGGCACAUUCUUAGAAGCUGUCACAUAGAGUACCCACUCAUGUUCUGUUGGCCAGAACGCAGGCAUCAGCGCAAGAAAUACUGAGAAAUGGCCCGUUUAUCCUGGGGCUGUGUAGAAGCUCCAGUGAGAAGGAAGAGGCCAGAGAGGAAGGAGAAGCUCCAGAGAGACUCCCGGAAGAGCUGGGGAUAUUCUGAGACAUGACGUCUUUGGGAAUGCUCCAGGACUCUGCUGUGAUGCCUUCAGAUCCCCCAUGCUCAAAGGCAGUGCUCUCAAAACUGCACAUCUGCUCACCAAGUGAUUUCAGGCAAGAAUAAAUGGUUCCACCUCACGAAAACUUCAGAAUGUGUACGUGGUCCAUCUGAAUGAACAUCACUGGGAGCAGUUACCCUUUGGCACAGUCCUGUUAGGAUGACUUGUGAGUUGGAACAGGAAAUAUGGACAAGGAGUUACCUGGAGUCUUCGUCACCUGAAGAGCUACUCACCUGAGAGAUCACUUCCUGGCAUUGCCCAAUAACCUGUGCUGAUCAUGAUGACACUGGGGCAAAGGCAUGCAGCAUCUGUUAUUCUCCAAGCAGCAAGAGCAGAGUGUGUGCACAUCAAAAAGUGAAAACACAUCUGAAUUCGGUUUGCACAGUGUUUCC
Long non-coding RNA from Ochotona curzoniae (black-lipped pika), 2090 nucleotides. RefSeq lists it as uncharacterized. Lineage: Eukaryota; Metazoa; Chordata; Mammalia; Lagomorpha; Ochotonidae. The transcript has 4 exons. The record is from RefSeq and is a predicted model, not a curated record.